AAGAAGAAGAAGAGAGCUAGUUCAAGAGGAGCGUCUAUGGUUAAAACGUAUAUCAUUUUUAAUAUUUUAUAGAAAAUGACAGAUCGUUUCACUAGGUAAGACCCUUAUUCCUCGUCUGGUAUCGUUUAAAGCCCUUUGAAGCUGCACUGAAACUAUAAUUUUGACCUUCAACCGUUUGGAGGCCAUUGAAGUCCAUUAUAAGGAGAAUAAUCCUGGAUUGUUUUCAUCAAAAGCCUUAAUUUCUUUUCGACUGAAGAAAGAAGGACAUGGACAUCUUGGAUGACUUGGGGAUUAGAGCUCGAGUUGCAGGAGCGUUUGAGGAAAGAGGAAGUUGAGUUUCAGAAAAGGAUGAAAGCAACAGAUGAAGAAAAGCAGAAGUACGAGAGGAAAGCGGAACAGCUGAGAGAGAGGAUAGAGAGAAUAAAAAUAGAAAAGGAAGAGAGAAGAAGGAUGGAGGCGCAAUUAUACACCUAUCUGACCGACAGAGGGAGACAAAGCUCCGUCUGGCUCAAGAUCAGUGAUUCGAUGGGAGAGUCACUGUCAACCCCACAAACC
Molecule: long non-coding RNA, 555 nt
Organism: Ctenopharyngodon idella (grass carp)
Lineage: Eukaryota; Metazoa; Chordata; Actinopteri; Cypriniformes; Xenocyprididae
Exons: 4
Source: RefSeq, a predicted model, not a curated record